Cicer arietinum (chickpea) is the source of this 1260-nucleotide RNA transcript. It is a transcript of the gene named transcription factor bHLH63, with no coding region annotated. The record is from RefSeq and is a predicted model, not a curated record. Lineage: Eukaryota; Viridiplantae; Streptophyta; Magnoliopsida; Fabales; Fabaceae.
GGAUGAACUUGCAACAACAACAACAUCACCAAAGUUACUCUUCUUCUUCUUCUUCACUUAAUCACUCACCAUCUGGAUUCAUUAACCACUUUCAUAUGCCAAUUGUAGCUGCUCCUGGAAUUGAUGUCAAUUCUGCAAUUUCAAGAACUUUCAGUUGUCCACCUGUUCUAGUAGACCCCAAACUCAAUCACUCUCCUUCACUUGGGAAAGAUAAUUGUUCUAACAAGAGGAAACCUGAAAAGGCACAUAAUCCUAAGCUCAAGAUUGUUGAUGAAAAUGACAACAAAGACAAAAAAAGGAUCAAAGUUGGUGUUGAGGACGGUGAAUCAAAAAUAACGAGGCAAGCCAGCGGCAAAUUAAAGAACACAAAUAACAAAAAAGAAAAGUGUGAUACUUCAAAUUCAAAAGCUUCUGAGGUUCAAAAUGAAAAACCUGAUUACAUUCAUGUUCGAGCACGUCGUGGACAAGCCACCGAUAGCCAUAGCUUAGCAGAAAGAGUUAGAAGGGAAAAGAUUAGCGAGAGAAUGAAGUAUUUACAAGAUUUAGUACCUGGAUGCAAUAAAAUUACAGGAAAAGCUGGAAUGCUUGAUGAAAUCAUCAACUAUGUUCAGUCUCUUCAACGACAAGUUGAGUUCUUGUCAAUGAAAUUAGCUACUGUCAAUCCAAGGCAUGACUUCAAUAUUGAUGAUCUCUUUGAAAAAGAGGUGUUUCCUAAUUGUGAUGCAAAUGCAACUUUUUCAGCUAUGGGAAUAUCAUCAGAAUUGAAUAGCAUUAAUCCUUAUGUUCAGUUCAAUUCACCACAGCAAUUUGUUUCUUAUGGUGGAUUAGAUAAUACUGGGAUGAACCCUUCAGAUAUGGGACUUAGAAGGACCAUAAGUGCCCCUGUAUCUUUACCUGAAACUUUUAUUGAUUCUUCUUGUUUUUCCGUAGCAAAUUCUACCUUCCACAACAUGGGAAGGUGAUUUCCAAAACCUUUACAACAACUUGAGUUUUGAUCAAGCAAGAGCAACAUCAUUUUCUUCUCAAUCUCAGUUAUUCACAGGUCUAGGUGAAGCUAGCAAUUUAAAGAUGGAGAUGUAGACCAGAAAAUCUGUGACCAUUCAUUGGAUUAAUCAGCUUCAUUCCUCCAAAAUGCCUCUUAUCAAGAUUCUUUUUUCUUUUCAAGUACAUAGUCAGCCUAUAUAUUAAUUGUUUGUAACUUUGUAUACUACUACAUAAUAUUAAUAAAAUCAUAUAAUUAAUACCUGUUAACUUCAGUCA